RNAcentral lists this ribosomal RNA (253 nucleotides) under uncultured bacterium. RNAcentral describes it as "partial 16S ribosomal RNA". It matches the Rfam family "Bacterial small subunit ribosomal RNA", at positions 524 to 776 of the family's 1533-position model. The record is from RNAcentral.
UACGAAGGGGGCUAGCGUUGCUCGGAAUCACUGGGCGUAAAGGGUGCGUAGGCGGGUUUUUUAAGCAGAGGUGAAAUCCUGGAGCUCAACUCCAGAACUGCCUUUGAUACUGAAAGUCUUGAGUAUGGGAGAGGUGAGUGGAACUGCGAGUGUAGAGGUGAAAUUCGUAGAUAUUCGCAAGAACACCAGUGGCGAAGGCGGCUCACUGGCCCAUAACUGACGCUGAGGCACGAAAGCGUGGGGAGCAAACAGG